ACGUAGUCUAUGAGAUCGCCCAUAGAUAAAAGCAAGCACCUCGAUGCGGUUCCGCUUUCAUCUGCUCAACACAUGAAAGAGAUGACGUCGUAAAUUUGAGUCAAUUUUUCAUUUUCUUUCGGCCAUGGCUAAUCGUUUUAGACAAUUUCGUUUGCUUCUAUGGAAAAACUUCAUUUUACAGAUUCGUCGGCCGAUAGGCACAGUGUUCGAGCUGUUAUUGCCUGUUCUUUUCAUAGCAGUUUUAAUUCUACCGAAGAAACUCUAAAUUGUCAGCGUCGUCUAACUCCGUAAGUUGGUCUUGGUUAUGGAAAGGCAGUAAGUGGUAUAAACAAUCCAAGGGAUUGGAGACGUUUUCUACCACUACACCUGAUGGUUCACGUUGGAUUGGGGUGAUCAUCGAAAGAUGCAUUGUUCGUAAAGUACAAAAUUUUACCGAUUAGUUAAGCUGUGGUGCAAAUUGCAAUCGUAAAAUUAAGACUUCCUUAACCAGCUGCAGUUAUAUGUUGAAAGAUCAAGGCACUUUUCGGUGUCCCACUCAAUAUGGAUCGAGAUGUGAACGAAUAAAAUUAUCGCAUAUUAAACCUGAUACCUGAUUUCACGUUUAUAGCUGCAUCAAUUCUGUAUAGGCGACAAAAUUGAGCACGUAAAACUAAGCUGCAACUAAUACACUGGCAUAAUUUAAAAAAUUAAUGCUAAGCAGUCCCUGGCAGUGAGUUAAAAAAAUCGACCAGAACUUGACAUAUAAGACCACAAAUACUCAAGAUAAGAAAUGAUCUUCACAAGUGGACUGCAAUCAUAGCAAUUGCAGUAAAAAAGCCUGAAGAAAUUACUCAUUUAAACAAUGUUAUUAUUCCCUGUGAUA
This is a long non-coding RNA of Stylophora pistillata, 862 nucleotides long. The record is from RefSeq and is a predicted model, not a curated record. Lineage: Eukaryota; Metazoa; Cnidaria; Anthozoa; Scleractinia; Pocilloporidae.